AGGAGGAGGAGGAGGAGGAGGAAGAGGAGGAGGAGAUGCCCACCUGUGGUCAUUUCCAGGAGCAGUAGGACCAAAGUGGCAUCCUGAAGGGCAUCCCCCAGACCAGCAGCUCCUGGUGCUCCGGCAUCUCUGGGUUAGGGGAUCCCAGCAGCGCCUAUGGAUUGAAAUCGGCCUGGAGGGGUUUCUGGGGCCUUGAAGAAGAACAUUUCCAGGGAUUUCCAUCUCCAUCCCUGCAGGUGUCCAGGCUGGCCAAGCCAGGUCCACAAUCUGCUCUUGCCAGGAUGUUAAACAUCCAAGGGAAAGAAAUAGAACUUGCAGGAAGUCCAGGAAUUAUGACACUGCUAAUCAGAACUAAUUAAAUUGACUCAGGAAGUUUCAAGGGAACGGAUCCCAGUGGGAAAAUCACUCUGAGGGUCUCUGCAGGAAAUCCACGGUGGUUUUCCAUGAAAUGUUCCUCCAGGGAGAGGCAGAGUGUGGAAAAGGACAGGCACAAGGAACAGCGCCUGCUGCAGGCUGGGAAUUCUGGCUGUGGGCUCCAGCUGGAAUCCUGCAGGAAUUCGGAUUGAAAAGCUCCCAGCUCCGCACCCAUGGGAGGGUGAAAGCACCGAUGGAUUCUGAAAUGGAGCAGCCCAGCAAGGAGGCUGCUCCAGGAACGAGUCACGUUGUGCCAGGAGCUGCUUAGAAAAGGUUGGGCUAAGGCCCUUCUGGAAUAUUCCAUCCAUCCCUAGGGAGCACUGGUCAUCACCGACACCGAGACAGCGAUUUUGGCAUGGCCAGAGGGUGGACAGUGCUCUGCAGCAAAGUCCACGUGAGGAGAGAAGACACUGAGAGCCGAAACCUCACGCCUGUGACCACC
RNAcentral lists this long non-coding RNA (856 nucleotides) under Cyanistes caeruleus (blue tit). RNAcentral describes it as "lncRNA (ENSCCEG00000019762.1)". The record is from RNAcentral. Lineage: Eukaryota; Metazoa; Chordata; Aves; Passeriformes; Paridae.